RNAcentral lists this ribosomal RNA (1566 nucleotides) under Chionomys nivalis (European snow vole). RNAcentral describes it as "16S ribosomal RNA". It matches the Rfam family "Bacterial large subunit ribosomal RNA". Lineage: Eukaryota; Metazoa; Chordata; Mammalia; Rodentia; Cricetidae. The record is from RNAcentral.
ACUAAGCCUAGCCCUAACAUAAACUCAACAUAACCAUUUACAACAAUAAAACAAAACAUUCGACAAAAGAUAGUAUUGGAGAAAGAAAUCUGUAUUAGGAGCAAUAGAGAAAGUACCGCAAGGGAAAGAUGAAAGAACACUUAAAAGUAAAUAAAAGCAAAGAUUAAACCUUGUACCUUUUGCAUAAUGAGUUAACUAGAAAACAUCUAACUAAGAGACCUUUAGCUAGAUACCCCGAAACCAAACGAGCUACCUAAGAGCAGUAUAAACGAACCAACCCGUCUAUGUAGCAAAAUAGUGGGACGACUCCUAGGUAGAGGUGAAAAGCCUACCGAGCUUGGUGAUAGCUGGUUACCCAAUAAAGAAUUUAAGUUCAACUUUAAGAUUACCUCAAGAAAAAAAAAAUCAAAAUGUAAUCUUAAAUUUUAGCCUAAAGAGGGACAGCUCUUUGGGAACGGAAACAACCUUACAUAGUGAAUAAACCUUUACUUAUAAAAACCAUUGUUGGCCUAAAAGCAGCCAUCAAUAAAGAAAGCGUUAAAGCUCAACACUACAAACCCCCUCAAUCCCAUAAACCUCAAUGAAUUCCUAUUAGUACUAAUUGGGUUAAUCUAUAAUUAUAUAGAUGAGACAAUGUUAACAUGAGUAACAAGAACGCCGUUCUCCAAGCACAAGCCUAUAACAACCCGGAUAACCAUUGUUAGUUAACACUCACAGGUGAAAACACAUCAAUAAAGACAACCUACACCCCAAAAUGUUAAUCCAACACAGGCGUGCAACAAGGAAAGAUUAAAAGAAGUAAAAGGAACUCGGCAAACAAGAAUCCCGCCUGUUUACCAAAAACAUCACCUCCAGCAUAAAAAGUAUUGGAGGCACUGCCUGCCCAGUGACAUACGUUUAACGGCCGCGGUAUCCUGACCGUGCAAAGGUAGCAUAAUCACUUGUUCCUUAAUUGGGGACUGGAAUGAAUGGCCACACGAGGAUUCAACUGUCUCUUACUUCCAAUCAGUGAAAUUGACCUCCCCGUGAAGAGGCGGGGAUACUACAAUAAGACGAGAAGACCCUAUGGAGCUUCAAUUAACUGACUUAACUAUUUAACUUUUUACCCUAAUGGAUUAAACAACAAGUAAAUAAGCCAGUAAUUUCGGUUGGGGUGACCUCGGAGAAUAAAUUAACCUCCGAAUGAUUAUAACCUAGACCUACAAGUCAAAGUACUAAAAAUCAAAUUGACCCAAUUUAUUUGAUCAACGGACCAAGUUACCCUAGGGAUAACAGCGCAAUCCUAUUCAAGAGUCCAUAUCGACAAUUAGGGUUUACGACCUCGAUGUUGGAUCAGGACAUCCCAAUGGUGUAGCAGCUAUUAAUGGUUCGUUUGUUCAACGAUUAAAGUCCUACGUGAUCUGAGUUCAGACCGGAGUAAUCCAGGUCGGUUUCUAUCUAUUUACUAUUUCUCCCAGUACGAAAGGACAAGAGAAAUGGGGCCUCCUUAACCUAAGCGCCCCAAAACUAAUACAUGAAAUUAUCUUAAUUUAGUAAGUUAGUUCCACAACACCCUAGACAAGGGUU